GACGAACGCUGGCGGCGUGCUUAACACAUGCAAGUCGAACGCUGAAGCUCAGCUUUUGUUGGGUGGAUGAGUGGCGAACGGGUGAGUAACACGUGAGUAACCUGCCUCCUUCUUUGGGAUAACGCCCGGAAACGGGUGCUAAUACUGGAUAUUCACUGGUCUUCGCAUGGGGGUGGGUGGAAAGGGUUUUUCUGGUGGGGGAUGGGCUCGCGGCCUAUCAGCUUGUUGGUGGGGUGAUGGCCUACCAAGGCUUUGACGGGUAGCCGGCCUGAGAGGGUGACCGGUAACAUUGGGACUGAGAUACGGCCCAGACUCCUACGGGAGGCAGCAGUGGGGAAUAUUGCACAAUGGGCGCAAGCCUGAUGCAGCGACGCCGCGUGAGGGAUGGAGGCCUUCGGGUUGUGAACCUCUUUCGCUAAUGGUCAAGCCGCAACAAUGGUUGUGGUGAGGGUAGUGGGUAAAGAAGCGCCGGCUAACUACGUG
RNAcentral lists this ribosomal RNA (483 nucleotides) under uncultured bacterium. RNAcentral describes it as "partial 16S ribosomal RNA". It matches the Rfam family "Bacterial small subunit ribosomal RNA", at positions 28 to 507 of the family's 1533-position model. The record is from RNAcentral.